Scophthalmus maximus (turbot) is the source of this 12954-nucleotide RNA transcript. It is a transcript of the gene named otogelin, with no coding region annotated. The transcript has 56 exons. Lineage: Eukaryota; Metazoa; Chordata; Actinopteri; Pleuronectiformes; Scophthalmidae. The record is from RefSeq and is a predicted model, not a curated record.
AGGGUUCUUGAAGCGCGCGGCGCGCCGCUCGCGGAACGCAGCCGGAUGGAGCAGCGCAGGCAGCGGCGGGAGUCCAGCAGCCGGAGGGUCGUGUUCACCGGGUGACGCGGUCCAGACCCGACCGACCGACCGACCGACCGACCGACGGACCGACCGACGGCGGGACCCGACGAGACGAAGGAAUGGAUCCUCACCUGGGACGAGGCUGGACGAGGCUGCUGCGCGUGUCGAGUCUGUACUUUGUGCUGAUUUAUCAAGCGCAUCUCUCCUGGGGCGUGGAGAGGGUGAACGUCUCUGGAUGGGGUGAAAUCAAUAACAGCGGGAGCAGCGGGAUAAAGCAGCAGAAAUGGGACACCGCUUCCCAGGGAGGGCAGGACGUCCAGACAACAGCUGCUGUGUUAGGAACCAACACGUCUUCCUCAAGUGGUUCAGCGGUCGACCGGACCGACGCGUCCAACCUGGCCUCCUCCAGCGCAGAGAGGACCCUCAGCUCUGACCGAUCAUCUGCAGCCAUAGCACCAGCCAGUCAAACGCCACCAUCGCGUCGAUCACGCACCAACCCAGCGCCAUCCGACAAAUCGCCUAUCAACACGGCGUCAGCCAGCCAAUCCCCAGCAACCGUUGCACCAGGCACCACAGCACCAUCCGUUCGGUCUCCGUCAAAGAUAGGGCUCUCUAGCCAAUCAGCAAGCAGGUCGACGCCAACCAGCCAAUCGCCAACAAGCACAGGAUCGGCCGGCCAAAUACUAUCCAGUCAUUCACCAACCAGAACAGAAGAAUCUAGCCUGUCACCAACCACUACAGUACCAAGCAGCCAAUCACCUACCUCUGCAGUACGAGCCAGCCAAUCACCAACUACCACAACACCAGCUAGCCAAUCACCAACAACCACAACACCAAACAGCCAAUCAACACCAACCACAACACCUGCCAGCCAACCACCAACAGUCGUAGCACCAGCCAGUCAGCCGCCAAAGACCUUAUUGGACCAUUCAGCAGGCAGCACAGUGAAACCUAGCCAAUCAACAACUGGCUCGAAAGCAUCCGCCCAAUCACCGCUCGCCUCAUCAUCUCCUCAUCAACCGUCACCCACCGUAAUACCAGCCGAUCAAUCCAUACCCAGCUCAGAAACGUCACACGGCUCCUCAUACAGCUCGACGUCUCGUAACCAAUCGCUGUCAAGUGAGACGCCCCGUGACCAAUCCCUGACCAGCUCUGACCCAUCGAACCGCUCGCCAGUCGGCGGAGGCUUCUCCCCGGACGAGCGUCCAGUUAAUAUUUCACUCCUCACCAGGCAGGUGAAGGAAGCCCUGAGGUCGUCGCUCCGUCGGAGUCCAGCAGAGUCAUGUGUGUCUCCCUGUCUGAACGGAGGACAGUGUGUUCAGUCACAGUCAUGUGACUGCAGCUUGUAUCAGGCCACGGGACACAGAUGUCAGACGGUCCCGAAUCCCGGCUUCGAACGGGAGAUGACGUGCCGGACGUGGGGUCAGCACAACUUCGAGACCUUCGACGGCCUCUACUUCCACUUCCCCGGCCGCUGCACGUACACGCUGCUGAGGGACUGCGAGGAGACCAACCAGGCCGGCGUCGUCGUCCAGGUCCACAAUGAUCCGGGCUGCGGCUCCGCCACCUACGCCUGCCAGCGCUCAGUGAGCCUCUUCCUGCCGUGGGAGGGCGAGGUGCGGCUGCACGCCACCAACGUGACCUACAAAGGCCAAAGUUUGCAGCUGCCCCAUCACAUCCACGACCUGCAGCUGGAGCAGAUCUCGCAGUACGUGCUGGUGACGCGGCGGCACGGCUUCACGCUGGCCUGGGACGGACGCGGCGGCUCCGUCUACAUCAAGCUCAGCCCCGAGUUCGUGGGCCGGACGUGCGGCCUGUGCGGCAACUUCAACGCAGACGUGCGGGACGACCUGAGGACGAGCUACGGCGUGCUGACUAGUGAAAUAGAAAUGUUUGGGAACAGCUGGGUGGAGACGGAGCCGCACCAGGCCCCAUGUCCCAUGGUGCCGUCUGGCUUCUCUUCCCCCUGCGCUGCGGUCGAUGCUCACGUCCUGCUGAAAGUGGAAGAGGUGUGCGCGAUGCUGCUGGAUCCGCCGUUCCAGGGCUGCCACGACUUUGUCAGCCCGCUGUCCUACAUGGCCAGCUGCUCCAACGACCUCUGCACGUCGGGUCCCAGCGGUGAUGUGAUGUGCCGGGUGUUCAGUGAGUACGCCCGGGCCUGUGCCCACGCCGACCGCCCACUGCACGACUGGAGGCUGCACAUUCCUCAGUGUGCGAAGCAGUGUCCUCUAGGUCUGCAGUACAGGGAAUGCAUCAGCUGCUGCCCCGAGUCCUGCAGCCUGGAGCGGACGUGCAUCGACAGCAAGCUGGCCUGCUUGGACGGAUGCUACUGUCCGGACGGUCUGAUCUACGAGGACGGAGGCUGCGUGACGACCUCCGACUGUCCCUGCGAGUACCACGGCAUGUUUUACCCCUCCGGACAAACGCUGCAGGAGGAAUGCAACAACUGCACCUGCAUGGGCGGAGUGUGGAACUGCACCGACUACAGCUGUCCAGGCGAGUGCUCGGUCACUGGCGACAUGUAUUUCCAGUCCUUCGACGGGCGGAUCUACACGUUUCCUGCGACGUGCCAGUACGUCCUCGCCAAGAGUCGCAACUCGGGGAAGUUCACGGUCACCGUCCAGAACGCCCCCUGUGGAGCCAACCUGGACGGCGCCUGCAUCCAAUCCGUCAACCUGGUCAUUGACGAGGAUCCGCGGACGGAGAUAACGCUGAGUCACGUCGGGGACGUCUUCAUGGCCGGACAGUACCGCAUCUCCCCGCCCUAUUCCGACGACGUCUUCCAGGUCCAGGAGCUGUCGUCCAUGUUCCUCCAGGUGAGGACGGCGUUCGGCCUGCGGCUGCAGUACAACUGGAAGGAGUUCCGCCUCUACCUGCAGGCGGACGAGCGCUGGACGGACGACACGGUGGGGCUGUGCGGCACCUUCAACGGAAACAUCCAGGACGACUUCCUAUCUCCGUCAGGUAUGAUCGAGAGCACACCUCAGCUGUUCGGGAACGCCUGGAGAGUCUCGUCGGGCUGUUCCCACAUCGGCCUGAGCGCGCCGCAGCUCGACCCCUGCGACGCACACCAGCAGGCCGUGACCUACGCCUCUGGGAUGUGCGACGUGCUGAACCAGGAUCUGUUCUCCGCCUGCCACGAGUACCUCAGCCCGACGCCCUUCCAUCAGCAGUGUCGCUCGGACACCUGCAAGUGCGGGACGCCCUGCCUCUGCUCCGCCCUGGCCCACUACGCCCGCCACUGCCGCAGGUUCUCCGUCAUCGUCGACUUCCGGUCGCACGUGGCCGACUGCGCGGUCGCCUGUCCCGCCUCCAUGCAGUACGGCACCUGCGUGUCGUCCUGCCAGCGCCGUUGCUCCGCCCUCUCCGUGCCGCAGCACUGCGGCGAGGAGUGCGAGGAGGGCUGCGUCUGCCCUCAGGGAUCCUUCUACAACCACCGCACGCUCACCUGCGUGCACAGGAGCGAGUGUCCCUGCAGUUUCCUCGGAGCAGAUUACGAGCCGGGAGAUGUGAUCAUGACGUCCGCAGGUGUUCAGCUCUGUCUGAACGGGAAACUGGUGUCUCAAACAGCAGACAGUGACAGGCUGUGUCCGGCUGGUCAGCUUUACCAGAACUGCUCGGAGGGGGAGGACGGCCUCCUGCCGGGAAGGGGCGUGGCCUGUGAGCGCACCUGUGAGUCGCACCUGCUCAACCUCACCUGCUCGACACACGAGCCCUGCGUGGCUGGAUGCUCCUGCCCUCCCGGUUUGCUGAAACACGGAGACGAGUGCUUCGAACCUGCCUCCUGCCCGUGUCUGUGGAAGGGAAAGGAGUAUUACCCGGGCGACCGAGUCUCCUCCCCCUGCCACCACUGUGUUUGCCAGCACGGGACGUUCCAGUGUGUGUUUCGUCCGUGUCCGUCCAUGUGCACGGCGUACGGAGAUCGCCACUACAGGACGUUCGACGGGCUGCUGUUCGACUACGUCGGGGCAUGCAAAGUCUAUCUCGUGAAGAGCAGCGCCGACGUGAUGCUCGGCGUCGUGGCCGAGAACGUCGACUGCUUCGACGGCGGCGUCAUCUGCCGGAAGUCGCUGACGAUCAGCAUCGGGCGAUCCUCGGUGGCGUUCGACGACGACAGCGGGACGCCGAAUCCAUCCAGCGUGAUUGACAGGAAGCAGAGGAUGCUGAUCUGGCCGGCGGGACACUUCACGGUCAUUCACUUCCCCGACGACGCCGUCACCGUCCUCUGGGACCGCAAGACCACCGUGCACGUCCAGGUCGGACCUCGCUGGCAGGGGAAGCUGAGCGGCCUGUGUGGAAACUUCGACCUGAAGACGGUGAACGAGAUGCGGACGCCGGACAACAUCGACUCCCCGACGCCGCAGGAGUUUGGCAACAGCUGGACAGCGGCCGAGUGUGUGAACAGUCCAGACAUCAGACACCCCUGCAGCCUCAGUCCGCUGCGGGAGCCCUUCGCCAAGCGGCGGUGUGCCGUCCUGCUCGGCGAGGUCUUCCAGGCCUGCCACCCGGUGGUGGACGUGACCUGGUUCUACAUGAACUGCCUGGCGGACACGUGCGCCUGCAGCCGCGGAGGCGACUGCGAGUGCUUCUGCACCAGCGUGGCGGCGUACGCCCAGCGCUGCUGCCACCAGGGCGUGCCCGUCGACUGGCGCUCGCCGUCUCUGUGCCCCUACGACUGUGAAUUCUUCAACAAAGUUCUGGGUAAAGGCCCCUUCAGGCUCGUCUCCUUCGGGGAUCGCACCACGCUGUUGGCGGCCGGCAGGUCCAGCGGCUCCGUGUUCCUGCAGCGAGGAAACGUCACCUCCAUCACCUCCAUCACCUCCAUCACCUCCAGCGGCGGCGGGGACGGCGACGUCCUCUCACAGUUCAUGAUGACGCCGGGCCUCAGCAGAGCCCGACCUCACGACACGUCGCGGGUUUCCUUCGAGGCGGCCGACAGACCCAACUACUUCCUGCACGCGAGCGCCGGCGGCCGGGUGACGCUGGCCAAGUGGCAGGAGAGCGAGGCGUUCUGGGACGGGGCCACCUUCGUCCUGCACAGGAACACCUGGAUCCCCGGCUACGACUCGCUGGAGUCGCACGCGCUGCCCGGCUUCUUCCUGCACGCCACGCCGCUCCGCCUGCACCUGCUCAAGUACAGACACGGCGACGGCUUCCGCAAGGCCACGCUGUUCAGACUGACAGGCCCCGGUCCAGACGCCCCGCCCCGCCCCCAGUGUCAGUGGAGGUACGACUCCUGCGUCAGCCCGUGCUUCAGGACCUGCAGCGACCCGUCGGCCGAGGCCUGCGUCGCCAUCCCACAAGUGGAGGGCUGCCUUCCUGUCUGCCCCCCGCACAUGGUGCUGGAUGAGGUCACCCGUCGGUGUGUCCAUGUUGAGGACUGUUUCAUUACGGCGCCUGUGCAGCCUGCAACACCGUCCGCUGCUCAGACGACCUCUGCUGCUCAGACGACCUCUGCAGCUCAGACGACCUCUGCUGCUCAGACGACCUCUGCAGCUCAGACGACCUCUGCUGCUCAGACGACCUCUGCAGCUCAGACGACCUCUGCUGCUCAGACGACCUCUGCAGCCGCCACCGCCCUCCUGAGGACCACGGGCUCCACCGAACCCCCCGCUCCUCCACGCACCAGUCCCACCGCUGACAUCACCACCGCUCCCCCGCCUGUCGGCACCCAGACCACCGCCUCCAGCACGGCGCCACCCGCCCCCGCCGAGCCGACCCGACCGCUCACCGCCUCCCCUGAGCUCUCCGGGACAGCAGGACACCCGUCGUCGCCGCCCCCAACAGCGCCCUCUGCUGCCCGGCCAGAGGCGGUGGAGCCGCCGUCUACCGCCAGAGCCAGCGAAGCUCCGCCCACCACUCUAACAGCUACAACGGCGUCAGCGGCCGGGGCUCUGAGCUCCCCCCCCAGCACGUCCAGGACGAGCAGCGCUCCGUUUGCCAUCACAGCUCUGUUCUGGAUCACGACCUCCACCCGGCCCACGGACUCCCUGCUGCCGCUCGUCACCACCACUGCCACGACUCUGCAGUCAACUACACCCGCAGCGCCAACUACUACGUCCGCCAUGGUGCCGCCCACCACCAGUGCCCCUCUUCCCGUUGUCGCACACACAGCCGAGGCUUCCACAGGGGCCACGUCAGAAGCUGCUGCGCCGAUCGCAACAUCCUCGAGUCCCGCUCCGAUCUCAGAGACGUCUUCGGUUACAGGCAGAACCACUGUUCCCAGUAUGGCCACCAGUGCGUUCACAUACACCACCACAAAGCCUGUGACCGAGGAGAGGCCCCCACCGACGACGACAACCACACCGACCCCCGCUGGUUUACCAAGCACGGCGCUCACAAGCGCCCCGCCCCUCUCCACCUCGCCUCCCGUCGAAACGGGACCUGUGUCUUUGCCCGCGUCCGCUUCGGCAAAGACCACGGAGUCGGUCACGCCCGUCGCACCGCUCACCGCCAGUAGAACAACACGACACGUGAGUCCAGCGACAACCACGCAGACUGUUCGCACGACGGAGAUUCAGUACACCACCACUACUGAACUGACAACCACCACGACAACAGCACCAGAGUUACGGACAUCAACCCACCUCCACGUUGCACCGACUACAACUGUUCCCUCUGCUCCGACUUCAGCUGCUGCAGCCUGGGAAACAACAACAACAACAACAACUGGAGCAGACAAACCUGAAGCUACCGUUUCUGAAACACCUGUAGCUCCAACAACAACGACAACAACGACGUCGACGACGGCUGCACCUCCACCUCUGGAGAUCGCCGACACGACGACUCCUCCCGUGUCCACCCCGUCACCCUACACCGAGAGGACGUCCUGGUCCGCAGUCGUCCCGACCACUCAGACCACAAGACCCUCAGAAGUUCCAGGAGCGCCCACCGCGUCCACGGCUCGCCCUGUCACGACCAAACCAACCGCGCUGCCGGCGUCUCGUACAGAAACCACGACCGCGCCACUAUCGCCAACGACAGACACCUCCACCCGUCCUGCGUCCACCAUGCGGACCUCUGAGCCGUGGCGUCCCCCCCAUCAGGAGACCAGCUCCACUGUCACUUCCGAAACUGUCGUCCAUGCGGUCGAUUCCACUGAAACCACCGGAGCACCUCGUCUUCCCGUGACGACAGCGAGGCCGGUCGCCACCUCUGCGGCGUCAGCUGCUGCCACGACCUCCACCGCCCAGACUACGACCUCUGCUGGAACCUCCGCUGCAGAAGUUGCAGCCGCCACCACCAGGGCGCUGUCUGCGCCCCCCACGCCACCUGAGCCCGGUUCCCCCGAGACCCCGCUCACCACAGCCCCCACCGGAGCUCCACCAGGCGUAGCCACCGCCACGCUCAGACCCGUCGUCGUGCGGCCGGUCGCAGAGACGACGCGUCCGGUGACGGGCAGAGUGGAGGUGUCGACAGGAGCCACAACCGUCUCGCCGCCUCCGUCCUGGUCGCCGCUGCACACGACCACACUGGCGUCUCCGGGGACGACGACUUUCCCGGAAAGGGUCACCACCCGCUUGGUGUCCACCUCCAGAGCUCCACCCGCCGCCACGGCUACAACCACCACACGGACAGCGACCCCCAGGACGACACCCAGAGCUCCUGUGACGACGCGGGUCACGCCGAGGAUCACGAUGGCCGAGAGGUCAACCGCCAGGCCGCACACUGCGAGGGUCACCGUAGCCACAGGGCCCCCAACGGAGACCACGAGAUCGACCACUCUCGGCCCAACGACUGUCACACCAAGCCCCGGCACAACGACCACGUCAGGAGUGCCGUCUUCAACCGUCCCAGCGUCCCCUGAGUCGGUCACCACGGCGAGCUCGACCGAACGCGCCGAGACAACCGCAGCGGUUCCCGUGCCGACCUCCACGACCCCCGGGGCGCCCGUUCCCACUCUAACAACAGUCACAGCAUCCACCGCCGUCCCCACGACAACCAGCAGAGAGCCAGCCACAUCUGACGAAACUCUGACGACCAAAGAGCCUGGCGCGUCGCCGUCUCCGCCCCGGCCGGUGACGCCUCCACCCGACGUGCUCGUCUCCACCCGGGAGCCCGGGACUCCCGCUCCCGCUGCGACGUCACUUUCCACAACAGUCGCCACGCUCCAAACCUCCGAGCCGCGCGGAGAAGAUCGGACGAGUCCGGGUGCAGCAACGUCCCCUGCACCGACGACGACGACCAGACACUCAGCGGAGGGCACGACGUCCGUGGUCGUGUCCCCGACGAGGAUGUGCACUCCUCCGUACGCAGAGAUGGUCGACGAGUGCACAAAGUACAUCUGCGUCCACAACCAGCUGGUCCUGUUCAACAAAUCUCAGAUCUGCCCCUUCGCCUCCGAACCCCCGGACUGUGGCCUGCUCGGCCUCGCCGUACUGGUCGACGGAGACAAGUGCUGCCCUCAGUGGGACUGUCCAUGUCGCUGCUCGGUGUUUCCCGACCUGAGCGUGAUCACGUUCGACGGGAGCAGCGUCGCCGUCUACAAGGCCGCCUCCUACAUCGUGAGCCAGCUGCCCAACGAGACCGUCAGCGUCGUGGUUCAGGAGUGUCCCGCCGACGCCGAGUCGCCGCUCCUGUGGAACUUCACCAACCUUUGUCUGGUGGCGCUAAACAUCACGCACAAGACCAACCACAUCAUCGUCAACCGGCUGCAGAGGAGGCUCUACGUCAACUCCCGCUACGCCAAACCCCGGUUCAAAAAGUACGGCUUCGAGAUCUACGACACGGGCAACAUGUACCUGAUCCGCAGCCCAGCCGGCCUCAGGCUGCAGUGGUAUCACAGCACCGGCACGAUGGUGAUCGACACCGACGGCUCCGGCAACAAGCUCCCCACCAUGGGCCUCUGUGGUUUCUGUGACGGAGACCCGACCAACGACCUGACUCUGCCCAACGGCACCGCGGUGGGCGCCGGCGAGGACCCGGCCCUCUUCAUCGACAGCUGGCAGGUUCCCAACACCACCAGCUACGUCAGCCAGAGCCGCCGCCGCGAGCUCAACUGCUCCACCGGCGACUGCUCCGUCUGCAUGGCCAUGCUGCAGACCGGCCACUUCGCCCCCUGCCACGCCUUCGUCCCGCCCAGCACAUUCUGUGAGGUCUGGGUGCGGGAUGCGGAGUACGUCAACAACCAGUGCGUGGCGCUGGCCGCCUACGUGGCCUCCUGCCACAAGUUCAACGUCUGCGUCGAGUGGCGCAGACCAGAUCACUGCCCCUUCGCGUGUCCCGACGCUCUGCGGUAUCAGGCCUGUGUGUCGGCCUGCACGUCGCAGUCCUGCCCCGACCACGACGUGGACUCGGACCCGGACCGGUGCUCGGGCCUGACGGAGGGCUGCGUGUGUCCCGAGGGGACGCUCCUCCACCGGCCCUACUCCGCGCUCUGCGUCUCCCCCGACAAGUGCGCCUGCACCGACAGCUCCGGCGCCCCCCGUGCGCACGGCGACGUGUGGAAGGCCUCGAAGGACGCCUGCUGCAUGUACCGCUGCGACAACGACACCAUCGUGCCCGUGGAGUACAACUGCUCCGGCGCGGCGGCGGCGCCCGCGUGCCGCCGGGCGGGGGAGGUGGUCAUCGGCCUGGCCGACGACACCAGCUGCUGCCCGCAGAAAGUCUGCGUGUGUAACCAGAGCCUGUGUGACCUGCCGCCUCCUGAGUGUAAAUACGGGGAGAAGCUGGUUUCGUACUACAGGCGAGACUCCUGCUGUCCGCACUACGUGUGUGAGUGUGACCCUGACCUCUGCGAGUCGGACGUCCCGAGCUGCAGAGAGGACCAGACCCGGAUCGCCACCAGAGCCGACGACGGCAGCUGCUGCCUGGCCCACAUCUGCGUGUGCUCCUCCUCGUGUGCGGAGACGCUGCCGCUCUGCCAGGACGGCGAGGUGCUGACAGUCGACGGCAACGUCACCGACCGCUGCUGCCCCGCCUACCAGUGUGUGUGUGAGCCCUACAGGUGUCCCCAGCUCACUUGUCCCGUGGGCAUGUCGGUGCUGUCGGUGUCCGCUCCGGGUCGCUGCUGCCCCGACCAAUCGUGCGAGUGUUCCUGUGAGAAGAUUGCCUCCCCGAAAUGUGGCCUGGGUGAGGCCGCCCAGCUGGACCGGGCCUCCCUGUCCGACCCACAGAACCAGUGCGCCUGCAAAAGAUAUAAGUGUGUGCGCGAGGCGGUGUGUGUGUUCGGCGAGCGCGGCGUGCUGCGGCCAGGUCAGACUCUGGUGGAGCACGGCGACGACGGCCUGUGUCACAGCAGACAGUGCAGCCGCAGCCUCGACCCGGCGAGCGGCUUCCACCUGCUGCGCACGGCCAGCGUCAACUGCUCCGCCCACUGCCAACCGAAUCAGAUCUACGUUCCUCCGAGGGACCAGGCCACGUGUUGCGGCGUCUGUAAGAACAUCUCCUGCCUCCACGAGCACGACAACGGGACGGUGGCUCGCUACAAGCCGGGGAAGUCGUGGGUGUCCAACUGCGUGAAGUUCGACUGCACCGACACUCUGUCCGGACCCACACUCGUGUCCUACUCCUUCAGCUGCCCCCCCUUCAACGAGACCGAGUGUGUGAAGGUGGGCGGAACGGUCGUGAGUUACAUGGACGGAUGCUGCAGAACGUGUACCGGAGUCCCCCUGUUGCCUUUCCCCGUUAGCCCCCCGACUCCCGCAGUUAACACAAACUGUGAAAGAGGUACCGAGAGACAACAAGGCUCGCCAGUGCCAUUGUUGAUGUUCAACAAUGUACUCCCUCCAAAAAGAGAACGAGGAAAUGAGGACAGAACGCACACAGGAAACACACAGUCCUCUCAACUGUCGUCCCGCGUGAGCUCACGUUCAAAUUCUCAUCACGCCACAAAGACAGAACUGAUGAACGAAACAUUCGUAUUCGUACGACGAUGCAUUCCCCUCCUUCGUAACGACGUCAUCAAACGAUGUCAUCAAAGGAGGCGGGGCAUCCUGCACUUCACUUCGCACCCCCCCCAAAAAAAAAAAAAUUGACACUUGAGAGGACAGAAACAUAACCCCGCCCAUCUCCCCCUGGAUCAUGAUACUGUACAUGUACACGAGAGCGACACCCCCCCCCCCCCCCUCUUAGCACUGUCUGGGGCAGUGCAUUGUUGAUUGCCAACAAUGUGCUGUUGGUAGUGGCCCAGUAGUCGGGCUUAGACGUCUGCAUGUGUCAGUAGAUACUGAUGUGGGCUGGUGACGGGGGGAGGGAGGGGACGGGGUCUCUUCACCACACAUGUAGAUGCUGUAGAAGAUCUGCAUGCUGCUGCUGCACCACCACCACCACCACCAGGGGGAGCUGUGUGUGGAAACCUGAGGCUACAGUGUGAGGCAUUUUUAUCAUCGUCAGUACGAACCAACCGUCGUCUGUCAAUAAAGACGGUCGAUGACCGUACGUGAAGAUGGACGAGGCAGCUCCACUUUCUACUUUGUUGUAGAAAAAAUGAAGCCACAAUAUCCGGGAUGCGGGCGCCGCCAUCUUGAAACACAACGGCAAAAUCGAACAACCCAACGGCACACAAUGGUUUCUGAUUCGCCUUUGUGAUUUGCACUCCAGGGCCGCCGUACCUCCUUUAAUAAUUAAAACCAGACUUUUCUGAAACGUGAACACUUGAACUUCACUUGAACGUUACCUUGAAAAUAAUCCGUCACAAUUAAAAAAACAUCCAAAAUGUUGCUAAAGAAAAGAAGUAUGUUAGUAUAAUCAGGGUAAUGUACCUAAAGUAUUUGAGGUCAAACUUUAUCAGCAGUGACGGUUGAAUAUUGUUAUAUGUUCCAGUAAUUGAUCUUCUGUUUAAUUUUUAGAUUAAUAGAUUGAUUGUUAAAUCAGUAAGAAAAAAAUAGAGAGAAAUUUCUGUUAUUAUUUCGUCAAACCAUUAUUAAUUAUUAUUAAAAUUACUAAAAAAGUAUAGCAGGAAAUGAUCACAUCUGAGAAACUGGAAACAAUCGAAUGUUUGGUAUUUUUGGAUUAAAAAAAGGCUUAACACAGUCGGUCAAAUGAUUUGUAUUAAAUACACUCAAUAUAUUUAAUUGUAAACGAAUCAUAUUUAAUUGUGGCCACUGUAAAUCACAGAUGAACCGACCUGUUAGACCUCGGUUAGAGCAGGAAACGACUGACGGAACAUGAGCCACACAUCGCAGCUUCACGUUCAUGCUCUGCUGGGCUUUUUAUUUCAUGUCUGCUUUUUACUUUUUCAAAAAUGCCACAAAUGCCGUAGAUAUACGUUUGCACACGCGGACGUCACAUCCUGAUUGUGUGAAGCGUCUCUGCUGCGGCCAUUUUGAAGUGAAGCUUCAACCAUUUCUGGUAGAAAGUAAAAGAAGCGUUAAAAACCAGGCGACAGGAGAUAAUACAUGUAUUUGGAACAAACCGAACACACGGUCGGUUGUGAUGAAUUCAGCUUCACCUCCAACAAAAUGGCCGCUGCACUGACGCGUCGCUGCAAAAAGGAUCUGGAUCGGACGUGUGACUGUCACAGAGUGUGUCGGUUUCAUUCAUCCCGUCUGCAGCCGUUGGAUGUUCACGAUAGUAACUGCAUGAUGCUGCUCAUCAUCUCAGCUUCACUUGUCCUUCUCUCCCUCCCGCGAUCGGACUCGUCGUCCGUCAGCGUCUCAAACAGCUCGUGCAUGAUCCGACAGCCUGCGUUCCUCCCGCUGCUCUUCUUCGUGCCCCUCCUCUUCUGUCUCCCAGCGUUUGCCGUGUCCCCACAUUUAGUUCACGCAAACUUUGUUCCGACUGACUUGUGGUGUGAAAACAGGUAAAGAAGAUGGAAAGUCGUGUCAGAAGGUGACGGUGAGGAUGACGAUCAGGAAGAACGACUGUCGCAGCAACAGGCCGGUGAACAUCGUGUCGUGCGACGGGAAGUGUCCGUCCGCCAGCAUCUACAACUACAACAUCAACACGUAC